UGACCAAAGGGGCUGCCAAAGAUGAUACCCAAUCUCCUCACAAAACCUUUAAAUAACUUGACUGUUACUAUCAGCACAUAACAUGUAACAUGUCCUGUCAAAAGUAUAGUUUCAGUAAUAAUGGACGUGUUAAAAUUGACACCAAUAUUUUCUCAUUACUUAUACUAAAUUGAAAGGCUUUUAAGCAGCUGUACUCUACAUCUCUCUUUUAUCACACAAGGAAACGCUUGUCCGACCCAUUCAAUUCUUUAGACUUUGUCUCUCCUGUUAACAGUGAGGAAAUGAAGGCAUGCAAAAGGUGUUUUUUCUGUUUUUCCUCCUUAUCUUUCCACUUUGGAUCAAUAAUGCAAUCGCACAUGGUUUGGAAAGGUGAAUAGAUAUGCUUGUUUGUUGCCCCAAACCUCGAAGCAAUCUUAAAUCUUGAAAUAAAACAGCUCUUGUGUUCUCCUCCUCUGUGCAUGCCUUGGGAACUUGUGCAGAGGCAUACUCCAGGGUCACUCACUGAUCAGACACUUCAUUCAUAUUCAAAUUACCCGCCUGAAUCUAUUCCACUUUCUCUUUUCUUUCUGUGAUCAAUGGUUCGUUUUGUAAAAUCUCACUGGGCUUAUCAGGAAAUAAGUGCUGUGGAAAGCCGUGGUGAAAAAAUUUCUAGGUUGUAGGCUGACAGUGACCAUGAGAGUGUGCAGGUGGGAGUAAACAAAAGACCACAAUGAAUAAUUACUCCUUCAUUUUUAAUUGCUUUAAUCCAAAUGCCUAAACAGAUUAAAUCUGAGUGACAUAAAUAUUUGAUUUUACACUUUGCCUAAUAUGCUAAUGAUAGAUUUUCCUUGCUCUACAAGCGGUAAUUUGAGUCAGCAAACAUGAAACGAGCGAACAUGCUCCUCAAAUCUACACUGAAGUGAUGUUCCAUUUCAAACCAGCCAUUGGAUUUUAAGAGGAUGCAAUAAGCCUCUGUUUCGUUAGAUAUUUUCUUCUCACUGGGAAAAUAGCUGUUAUGGGUUAGAGAUGGCUGCAGAGUGAUUGAGACAAUUGUGCUGAUAUCCCUGAUCACAUUUGCCGUACCAUCUGUGUGAGGAAAUUGGUUGAGGGGCUUUUAAAGGCAGGAUGAAUGGCAAGCAGAACUCCAGUUUUGUGUUGCCUUCGACUAAACUGCAUCCCUAAUGAUGACAGAGAUGGAGGGGGAUGAAAAUACAACAGAGCUUCCAGAGCAAGCUGUUGGUGCAUUUGAUGUUUAACAGAACAGUUUAUGUCUUUUUUAUUCUUCUUUUCUGCUAAUUCCUUUAGUUUAAACUAUUAUUGUCAAUAGAACUUUUAAUGGUCAAAGUCACAAUGAUGUAUUGGCAGAAACUGGAGAGACAGAAAACACCACCACAGGGUUAAAGGCAACAUAGGAUUCUUAAAAUGUUGUCUUGUGUUCUUGGUGCCAGAGUGGGAGGAGUAACAGUAAUGUCCCUAAACUGAAAUUCUGCUGUUUAUAAUUGUCAGCCAAUGAAAAACAAGUUUAGUUUAAUGCAAUAUGACAAAGGACUGAACAGAUUAGAUGAUUAAAAAAUGUUCAUAUGUGCCGAGCAAACUUCAGCACAUUUUUUUACAGUUGUAUGGAUGGAUGACAUUGUGUAUUUUAAGUAUUGUCAUUAGCCUCUAAUCAGAAAAUUAGAAAGGUAUUCCAGGGUCAUUCCACCUUUGGCAAUCCUGUCAAAUCAUCCAUCUACAAAGCAUUGAGGUUAGUCCGUCUGCUGCGGUUAUCAGAGGUAACUUAUCCAUGUAAAAGUCAGAAAGUAAUCUCACAAACUCAGAGGCUUUUGUUAUCUUCUGCUGUUGUUAAAUCAUGCCCAAAACAUCUUAUUGGUCAAUACUGAUUGACACAUCAAAACGAUUGUCUUAACUCCAGCUAAGCCCCACCCACCAAAAAUCAUCACUGUUCACCAACACAAAAAGGAUCUGUACCAUGUGGCAUCCUCUGGAAAAUAAGUCCAUAUGGGAGUGCUAAAAACUGCAGUUCCCGAAAUGACCACUUGAGGCAGAAGCACCAGAAACAAGAUUGUCAAAUCAGAGUAUGGCUAACCUGACUAUGAAGCAAGCAUACUGUGGCUAUUUGUGAGGAAGCUUAAGGUCUACCUCUGGUAGAUUAACCAAAUGCUAGGUUGAGUCGGCAUUUCCAGUCCCACACAGAGGGGCAGCAGUUAUACCAGCGCUUGCCUUUUUGGGGUUCAUUUCCGUUAACCUUUUUAUUUUGUUUUUUAUUCCUGAAAGCAAGUAUUAGUAUCUACCCACGCUCAGUCAAGGAGCAGCAAGUAUUUUUGUCAUGUUUUUUGACUGCUGAUGGAUAUUUUUGCUGGGAGAAGAGUUUAUUCUAGAGGAAAAGAGCAAAUCUGGAUGACAACAUGCAAUUGGAGCAGAUAUCAGGAGGUGGUUACUGUGUUGGUGCAAAGGUGAAGGCAAAGUUAAAGGGUUGUUUGUUUGCUAUGUUGAUCCUUUGCUGCUGUCAACACUGUAAAUUCCCCCACCAUGGGAUGAAUAAAGACUUAUCCACCAAUAUGACAACCAUUGAAAAAAGGCUUCAAGACUCCCCUUUAGAGACAAAUGGUUGACAUCACCAAGGCUGAGUCCAGUUAUUAUACUGUCUAUGGUGUGUACAAGGUGAUGUUCCUUUGGAGAAUUUUUUUCUUCUAUUGAAAUCCAUAGCUUGUGAUGGCUGAAUUAGAGCUCACUCCUGUAGAUCUGUUCACAUGAAAAAAACACUACUAACAUUUCAAAGCCAACUAUCA
Molecule: long non-coding RNA, 2768 nt
Filed under: Xyrichtys novacula (pearly razorfish)
Lineage: Eukaryota; Metazoa; Chordata; Actinopteri; Labriformes; Labridae
Source: RNAcentral